ACUGGGUAUUUUUCCAUUAUUGUAAUAAGUCCGUUUCGCUCCCCUGUUUAGGCAGGAUAGAUGGCUGUGAUUCCUGCGGACAAAGACGAAGAUCGAUGCUGAAUUAAGGCUGCAGCAAGCCCUUUUGUCAUCCUGCAGGCAGGAGGAGUCCGGGAAGCUCACUUAUCUGGAUAAGAAGACCGUUUGAGAUUAGAAGCAUGAUGACGUUUAAGUAGA
This 216-nucleotide long non-coding RNA is filed under the name Rattus norvegicus (Norway rat). Its description in RNAcentral is "long non-coding RNA NONRATT031830". The record is from RNAcentral. Lineage: Eukaryota; Metazoa; Chordata; Mammalia; Rodentia; Muridae.